Molecule: ribosomal RNA, 274 nt
Filed under: uncultured bacterium
Lineage: Bacteria
Description: partial 16S ribosomal RNA
Rfam family: Bacterial small subunit ribosomal RNA
Source: RNAcentral
AUACGAACUGCGCAAACGUUAUUCGGAAUCACUGGGCUUAAAGGGUCCGUAGGCGGCCAGACAAGUCAGGUGUGAAAGCUCUCGGCUCAACCGAGGAAUUGCGCUUGAAACUGUUUGGCUUGAGUACGAUAGGGGUGUGCGGAACUUCUGGUGGAGCGGUGAAAUGUGUUGAGAUCAGAAGGAACGCCGGUGGCGAAAGCGGCACACUGGGUCGUAACUGACGCUGAGGGACGAAAGCUAGGGUAGCGAACGGGAUUAGAAACCCCGGUAGUCC